UGGGAGGGAGAUCUGGCUGCAGCAUCUGUCACCCCAUUGAUCACCAGAGUUGAAUCAGCUGAUCUAGCUGGCUAGGCGGGAGUUCCCUUCUUCCCUCACAGGUCUAUAUGCUUCUCUCCAGAAGCUGCACACUUAGUCGAAGAGGACUACCUUCCCUGAAUAGAGGAGGACUAGUCCAAAUAAGCUCUCAAGGUCCAUUUAUUAUGUCUUGUUAUGCCAUGUUCGGCUGAUAUCCCCGGGAGGCCUGCUCAU
Cricetulus griseus (Chinese hamster) is the source of this 252-nucleotide unclassified non-coding RNA. Its record names the gene 7SK. It matches the Rfam family "7SK RNA". From Rfam's summary of the family: 7SK was discovered as an abundant small nuclear RNA in the mid-70s but a possible function has only recently been suggested. Two independent studies have found that 7SK RNA binds the CDK9/cyclin T complex (known as elongation factor P-TEFb). P-TEFb activates transcription by phosphorylating the C-terminal domain of RNA polymerase II. The record is from Ensembl. NCBI's taxonomy places the organism in Eukaryota, Metazoa, Chordata, Mammalia, Rodentia, Cricetidae.